GUGGGGAAUAUUGGACAAUGGGCGAAAGCCUGAUCCAGCCAUGCCGCGUGUGUGAAGAAGGUCUUCGGAUUGUAAAGCACUUUAAGUUGGGAGGAAGGGCAGUAAGUUAAUACCUUGCUGUUUUGACGUUACCAACAGAAUAAGCACCGGCUAACUUCGUGCCAGCAGCCGCGGUAAUACGAAGGGUGCAAGCGUUAAUCGGAAUUACUGGGCGUAAAGCGCGCGUAGGUGGUUCAGCAAGUUGAAGGUGAAAUCUCCGGGCUCAACCUGGGAACUGCCUCCAAAACAACUGAGCUAGAGUACGGUAGAGGGUAGUGGAAUUUCCUGUGUAGCGGUGAAAUGCGGAGAUAUAGGAAGGAACACCAGUGGCGAAGGCGACUACCUGGACUGAUACUGACACUGAGGUGCGAAAGCGUGGGGAGCAAACAGGAUUAGAUACCCGGGUAGUCC
RNAcentral lists this ribosomal RNA (450 nucleotides) under uncultured bacterium. RNAcentral describes it as "partial 16S ribosomal RNA". It matches the Rfam family "Bacterial small subunit ribosomal RNA", at positions 354 to 796 of the family's 1533-position model. The record is from RNAcentral.